GCCGGGGUGGGGUAGCUUGGUUAUCCUACGGGACUGUGGAUCCUGUGACUCGGGUUCGAAUCUCGGCUCCGGCCCCA
RNAcentral lists this transfer RNA (77 nucleotides) under Methanobrevibacter sp. RNAcentral's name for it is "tRNA-His". It matches the Rfam family "tRNA". From Rfam's summary of the family: Transfer RNA (tRNA) molecules are approximately 80 nucleotides in length. Their secondary structure includes four short double-helical elements and three loops (D, anti-codon, and T loops). Lineage: Archaea; Methanobacteriati; Methanobacteriota; Methanobacteria; Methanobacteriales; Methanobacteriaceae. The record is from RNAcentral.